RNAcentral lists this ribosomal RNA (450 nucleotides) under uncultured bacterium. Its description in RNAcentral is "bacterial SSU rRNA". It matches the Rfam family "Bacterial small subunit ribosomal RNA", at positions 354 to 796 of the family's 1533-position model. The record is from RNAcentral.
GUGGGGAAUUUUGGACAAUGGGCGAAAGCCUGAUCCAGCCAUGCCGCGUGCAGGAUGAAGGCCUUCGGGUUGUAAACUGCUUUUGUACGGAACGAAAAGACUCUGGUUAAUACCUGGGGUCCAUGACGGUACCGUAAGAAUAAGCACCGGCUAACUACGUGCCAGCAGCCGCGGUAAUACAUAGGGUGCAAGCGUUAAUCGGAAUUACUGGGCGUAAAGCGUGCGCAGGCGGUUAUAUAAGACAGAUGUGAAAUCCCCGGGCUCAACCUGGGAACUGCAUUUGUGACUGUAUAGCUAGAGUACGGCAGAGGGGGAUGGAAUUCCGCGUGUAGCAGUGAAAUGCGUAGAUAUGCGGAGGAACACCGAUGGCGAAGGCAAUCCCCUGGGCCUGUACUGACGCUCAUGCACGAAAGCGUGGGGAGCAAACAGGAUUAGAUACCCUGGUAGUCC